RNAcentral lists this transfer RNA (74 nucleotides) under Dendropsophus sarayacuensis (Shreve's Sarayacu treefrog). RNAcentral describes it as "tRNA-Leu". The record is from RNAcentral. Lineage: Eukaryota; Metazoa; Chordata; Amphibia; Anura; Hylidae.
GUUAACGUAGCAAAACCUGGUANAUGCAAAAGACCUAAGCUCUUUCCAUAGAGACUCAAAUCCUCUCGUUAACU